UACGAGAGGCCCAAACGUUAUUCGGAAUUACUGGGCUUAAAGAGUCCGUAGGCGGCGCAGAAAGUAGGGUGUGAAAGCCCUCGGCUCAACCGAGGAAUUGCGCUCUAAACUACUGUGCUUGAGGAACCUAGAGGUGAGCGGAACUGAUGGUGGAGCGGUGAAAUGCGUUGAUAUCAUCAGGAACACCGGAGGCGAAGGCGGCUCACUGGGGGUUUUCUGACGCUGAGGAGCGAAAGUGUGGGGAGCGAACAGG
RNAcentral lists this ribosomal RNA (253 nucleotides) under uncultured bacterium. Its description in RNAcentral is "partial 16S ribosomal RNA". It matches the Rfam family "Bacterial small subunit ribosomal RNA", at positions 524 to 776 of the family's 1533-position model. The record is from RNAcentral.